This 3827-nucleotide small RNA is filed under the name Pongo abelii (Sumatran orangutan). RNAcentral's name for it is "retained intron". Lineage: Eukaryota; Metazoa; Chordata; Mammalia; Primates; Hominidae. The record is from RNAcentral.
GGUUUCUGUUGGGUAACGGAGAAUUUAUGCUCACCAAGUUAUAGGUAACAAAGAAUUUAUACUCACCAAGUUAUAUGAUCUUUUUCUCUGCCUAACUCUUAAGUGUCCUACCUACUGUCCUUGUGCAGGCUUCCUGGGUGAUCUCCCUAUCUUCAGGACAUUAUCUGAGCCUACUCCCCAGGUCUUUCUACAACUCGGAUUUUUCUUCUGGGCACCAGCCCUGAAGACCUAGCCACUUAGAGGGCCUCUUUUUCUGUCUGUUCUCUUGGCCUCGUAAGUCCAUCAUGUCAUGACCCCUCUUUAUCUCUAACCUCCGAACACCCAAGCCAAAACCUAAGCCAUCCCCUACUCUCAGUCUCCCCUUGGUCACCAGUGCCUGCUACUUUGACUUUAGUAUCACUCUCCCCACAUCCUUCCUCAGCCUUUUCCUUGACAGGUGCAGAUUUUAACUGCUUCCCUGUCUUUCUAGUCUUGCCCCCUUCCAAGCUCUUCACCAUACUGCCACCAGUAAAGUUUGAAAACAAUAGUUGGCCAGACGCGGUGGCUCACGCCUGUAAUCCCAGCAUUUUGGGAGGCCGAGGUGAGCGGAUCACGAGGUCAGGAGAUCGAGACCAUCCUGGCUAACACAGUGAAACCCCAUCUCUACUAAAAAUACAAAAGCAAAAUUAGCCAGUCGUGGUGCUGGGCACCUGUAGUCUCAGCUACUCGGGAGGCUGAGGCAGAAGAAUGGCGUGAACCCAGGAGGUGGAGCUUGUAGUGAGCCAAGAGCACGCCACUGCACUCCAGCCUGGGUGACAGAGUGAGAAUCUAUCUCAAAAAAAUAAAAGGAAGAAAGAAAGAAAGAAAACAAUAGUUAACAUGUCCAAAUUCCUUUUUCAUCCCUCACUGACUGAAGGGAUAGGGAGGCAACAAGCCAGUAGAAGAGAAAAUGCUUUGCUAAACGUCAUCGUAUGUCUGUGUCUUAUUUUUCUUUUUUGACUAUUUAAUCUUAUUUCACUUAGGACCUUGGUUAUUUAUAUUAGUUGUCUAUAGGCAGCGGAACAUAAUUAAAUACCAUUUUCUAGUUAAAUUCACCUAAGACAGCUUUUAAACAAAACUCUUGCAUUAAAUGUUGCCAUUAAUGAAGCGUUGUUAACUUGCCUCUCUCUCCCCAGCACCUUCCUUCUCUGACUUCACUGCUUGGGGAGCAUGCUAAUGAUUCCUUGGUGUUAAUAACUUUGCAAUUCUUAAACAGGUGACAUUCCAAGCCUGCAGUAUAUCUGAGGCCAGAUACCUUUAUGAUCAGUUGGCUACUAUCUGUCCUAUUGUUAUGGCUUUGAGUGCUGCAUCUCCCUUUUACCGAGGCUAUGUGUCAGACAUUGAUUGUCGCUGGGGAGUGAUUUCUGCAUCUGUAGAUGAUAGAACUCGGGAGGAGCGAGGACUGGAGCCAUUGAAGAACAAUAACUAUAGGAUCAGUAAAUCCCGGUAUGACUCAAUAGACAGCUAUUUAUCUAAGUGUGGUGAGAAAUAUAAUGACAUCGACUUGACGAUAGAUAAAGAGAUCUACGAACAGCUGUUGCAGGAAGGCAUUGAUCAUCUCCUGGCCCAGCAUGUUGCUCAUCUCUUUAUUAGAGACCCACUGACACUGUUUGAAGAGAAAAUACACCUGGAUGAUGCUAAUGAGUCUGACCAUUUUGAGAAUAUUCAGUCCACAAAUUGGCAGACAAUGAGAUUUAAGCCCCCUCCUCCAAACUCAGACAUUGGAUGGAGAGUAGAAUUUCGACCCAUGGAGGUGCAAUUAACAGACUUUGAGAACUCUGCCUAUGUGGUGUUUGUGGUACUGCUCACCAGAGUGAUCCUUUCCUACAAAUUGGAUUUUCUCAUUCCACUGUCAAAGGUUGAUGAGAACAUGAAGGUAGCACAGAAAAGAGAUGCUGUCUUGCAGGGAAUGUUUUAUUUCAGGAAAGAUAUUUGCAAAGGUGGCAACGCAGUGGUGGAUGGUUGUGGCAAGGCCCAGAACAGCAUGGAGCUCGCUGCAGAGGAGUACACCCUCAUGAGCAUAGACACCAUCAUUAAUGGGAAGGAAGGUGUGUUUCCUGGACUGAUCCCAAUUCUGAACUCUUACCUUGAAAACAUGGAAGUGGAUGUGGACACCAGAUGUAGUAUUCUAAAUUACCUAAAGCUAAUUAAGAAGAGAGCAUCUGGAGAACUAAUGACAGUUGCCAGAUGGAUGAGGGAGUUUAUCGCAAACCAUCCUGACUACAAGCAAGACAGUGUCAUAACUGAUAAAAUGAAUUAUAGCCUUAUUUUGAAGUGUAACCAAAUUGCAAAUGAAUUAUGUGAAUGCCCAGAGUUACUUGGAUCAGCAUUUAGGAAAGUAAAAUAUAGUGGAAAUAAAACUGACUCAUCCAACUAGAUGUUCUACAGGAAAGAAAAAUGCGUUACUAUUUUAUUGACGAACUGGCUACAGUACCAUGCCUCUCAGCCCAUGUGUAUGAUAUGAAGACUAAUGUUAGAACUGUACUGUUUUCUGGGCCAGUGAGCCGGAAAUUGAUUAAGGCUUUCUUUGGUAGGUAAAUCUAGAGUUUAUACAGUGUACAUGUACAUAGUAAAGUAUUUUUGAUUAACAAUGUAUUUUAAUAACAUAUCUAAAGUCAUCGUGAACUGGCUUGUACAUUUUUAAAUUCUUACUCUGGAGCAACCUACUGUCUAAGCAGUUUUGUAAAUGUAAUGUACUGGUAAUUGUACAAUACUUGCAUUCCAGAGUUAAAAUGUUUACGGUAAAUUUUUGUUCUUUUAAAGACUACCUGGGACCUGAUUUGUUGAAAUUUUUCUCUUUAAAAACACUUUCUCUCAUUAAUUUUCCUUUGUCAUUUCCUUUGUUGUGUACAUUAAAUCACUUGAAUCCAUUGAAAGUGUUUCAAGGGUAAUCUUGGGUUUCUAGCACCUUAUCUAUGAUGUUUCUUUUGCAAUUGGAAUAAUCACUUGGUCACCUUGCCCCAAGCUUUCCCCUCUGAAUAAAUACCCAUUGAACUCUGAUGGCUGUUAUCAAAGGAACUUUUCUUUGUUUAAAUUUGCUGAUGCAGGAAUUAAGUUUAAACACAACUCUGUAGAAAGGAGAUUAUUACCCAGAAUUCACAUGUAGUGAUUAUUAAGGACAAUUUUUUUUUUAACUAAAAAAGUUGGCGGUGGGGGUAGGGGGUGGCAAUCAUUUUUCUUCCUAUACCGACAAAGGAUACUGUCAAAAAUGGCGUUAGUUCUUCUGUUGUGGACUGUUAUUCUGAUUGCUGCUGUAUACAGUUUUGUCACUCUUUAGUUUUUAGUUAAGCAUACUGAUAGACUUUCCUCUAAAAGCCAUUCACUCCAGAUUUUACCUGGGGAAUAUUCUACAUACUGCUUACAUUCUCUAUAAAACUCAUCAAUAAAUCAUGAAAGGCACUGAGUUUUGUGAAUCAGGACCCUAAAUGUUUAAUUGUAAAUAAGUUUCAGAUAAUUAUUAUAGCUUUGCUUUGAGGUUUGUUGUUUUUUUUUUUUUUUCUCAACCAGUUAAGUCUUAACUGCUUCUGAAAUAACUCUGUAUUGUAGAUUAUGCAGAUCUUUACAGGCAUAAAUAUUUAAACUGUAAUAUGCUAACUUGAAGAGAUUGCAAUAAAGCUGCUUCAGCUAACCCUGUUUAUGUUUAAAUACUAGGGUUUGUUCUAUAUUUUAUACAUGCAUUUUGGAUGAUUAAAGAAUGCCUGGUUUUCGUUUGCAAUUUGCUUGUGUAAAUCAGGUUGUAAAAAGGCAGAUAAAUUAAAAUGUUUGUGGUAUGAGGAAAUACAAGAAUGGAAUUAGCAUUCAUUCAGAAA